RNAcentral lists this long non-coding RNA (1272 nucleotides) under Salmo salar (Atlantic salmon). RNAcentral's name for it is "lncRNA (ENSSSAG00000110326.1)". Lineage: Eukaryota; Metazoa; Chordata; Actinopteri; Salmoniformes; Salmonidae. The record is from RNAcentral.
CUCUAUAGGCCUUUUACAAUGAAACCAAAUUGGGUGGGAGCUUGUCCUUUCCCCAGUCAGGCAGAAGGACACAUAAAUCAAGGCGUCUAUCGUUUGUCACCUCCCUCCCCCCCUCUCCGUUUCUCAGCUGAGGCCAACCACGAUCCAACCCAGAGUUUUUUGGGUCCAAACUUAUCCAUCAAAACCAGCGAGUGGCCGCCAGCCGGCUACAGCCCCAGCGAUCGAUGGGUGUGAUGUUCGCUCCCUCUUGGCCCGUGUGUGUGUGUAUGUGUGUGUGCCUCCCUCCACAUGGGAUGGGGAAGAGGAACCUCAUUUUUGCUGGUUUUAGCCCCGGGGCACUACUGUGAUUUUACCCUGUGCUCCUGGCCUGACGUCAUUAAAGAUGCAUGAUGAUGGAUACAAUGAAGUCAAGCACACGGAGGUGGUUGGAGUUUCUAGUGACAGCCUGUCUUAAUGCCUGUCCUGUGUCCCUUGUGGGGAGUGGGAUCCGGCCUGACGAGAAGGCCUUGCAAUAAGCCUUUAUCAGCCAAGCCCACACAGUACCAGGGGGCCCCGGUCUCCUCCAACAACUCAUGAUGUGGAGGGGAGAUGGACAGAGCUCCGUGGUCCUCUGGUCGAGCAUCAGAACAGGAUUCAGCCCAUUGUGCCAUUCAAAUUAAGCAGGAAUCAAAAGGGAGAGCGGAAGCUGUUGUGCCUGUGUUGUCUUGUGUUAUUUUAACCAGCUUAACUCAAGCCUCUUCAUGGACGAGUGUGCUGCAUGCUGUUGGAUGCCGAUGAUGAUAAGUGGUGGAUUGUAUGUUAAGACUGCUAAGCUGUUGGGUUGGCUGAACUGGGUUGCUGGCUCAAGUAGCUGUUGUUGUUCCUGAUUUUGGCUGAAGUUGAACCGCUUCAAUAGGUUACCAAGGAUUUUCCACUGGAAAUCGCUGACUUGGCUGUCCAUGUAUACUGUCUCUUCAUGUGACCAUAGGGACUUCUGUCUAUUUCAUGAUGUUUUCAUAAAAAAGAAAGAAAGAAAGCAGAACAACAACAAAAAGUUCAGGUGCUUAUUUCAAGUAAUAUCAAAAUAAACCCAUGGCAUGGAUGUCUAUAAUGUCCUUUUUACCAGUUAGAAUGCUAUGGUCGAUAUCUUCAAUGCCUAUUUUAUUUGAAGUGUUCCAUUAAAUAUAGACUGCUCUGUUGGCAACAUAUUUAAAAAUGAGACCUGUCCCCACUUUAAUAAUGAUGCCAAUAACAUCUUAAUACAUGCUGCAAUAAACAUACAGGCAAAGAUGA